UACGUAGGGUGCAAGCGUUGCCCGGAUUUAUUGGGCGUAAAGGGCGCGUAGGCGGCUCUGCACGUUCGUUGUGAAAUCGCCCGGCUCAACUGGGCGGGGUCAGCGGAUACGGCAGAGCUUGAGCAAGCUAGGGGGCAAUGGAAUUCCCGGUGUAGUGGUGGAAUGCGUAGAUAUCAGGAGGAACACCGGUGGCGAAGGCGGGUCUCUGGGCCGAUAUCGACGCUGAGGAGCGAAAGCGUGGGGAGCGAACAGG
RNAcentral lists this ribosomal RNA (253 nucleotides) under uncultured bacterium. RNAcentral describes it as "partial 16S ribosomal RNA". It matches the Rfam family "Bacterial small subunit ribosomal RNA", at positions 524 to 776 of the family's 1533-position model. The record is from RNAcentral.